CUCCAGGAUUCAUCUAGAAGGAAGGACCGGCGCCGGCAUGUUGGUGUAAAAACAAGGAGCCGCACAGUUGACAUUCUUCUUCAUCAUAUGCUAAGUGCAGAACUGAGUGAUAGCCAACCUGCAAAAGAAUAGUUUAUCUUGGUCCUUCCACGCUGGGACCAUACAAAAAGCAAAGAACGGGAGAUCCUUCCAUCAUCAAGUGGAAAGGUUGCAACUUAACAAGAUACAAGUAUCUAUUAUAUCAAUGUGUGUGGGUCAUCAAGUCUAAAGUUCAUGCACCAAAUUUGCAAGGAGCAUAUCUGAAGUUAUCCCCAUGUGUCGUGAGCCCACUGAUAUAUUUGCUUUAUUGUGCCG
Molecule: long non-coding RNA, 354 nt
Organism: Asparagus officinalis (garden asparagus)
Lineage: Eukaryota; Viridiplantae; Streptophyta; Magnoliopsida; Asparagales; Asparagaceae
Exons: 3
Source: RefSeq, a predicted model, not a curated record